AUUGAACGCUGGCGGCAUGCCUAACACAUGCAAGUCGAACGGUAACGCGAGAAGCUUGCUUCUUGGCGACGAGUGGCGGACGGGUGAGUAAUACUUAGGAAUCUGCCCAUUAGUGGGGGACAACUCGGGGAAACCCGAGCUAAUACCGCAUACGCCCUACGGGGGAAAGCGGGGGUCUUCGGACCUCGCGCUAAUGGAUGAGCCUAAGUCGGAUUAGCUUGUUGGUGAGGUAAAGGCUCACCAAGGCGACGAUCCGUAGCUGGUCUGAGAGGACGAUCAGCCACACUGGGACUGAGACACGGCCCAGACUCCUACGGGAGGCAGCAGUGGGGAAUAUUGGACAAUGGGGGAAACCCUGAUCCAGCAAUGCCGCGUGUGUGAAGAAGGCCUGCGGGUUGUAAAGCACUUUCAGUAGAGAAGAAAAGCGAACGGUUAAUACCCGUACGUCUUGACGUAACCUACAGAAGAAGCUCCGGCUAACUCCGUGCCAGCAGCCGCGGUAAUACGGAGGGAG
Molecule: ribosomal RNA, 514 nt
Filed under: uncultured Chromatiales bacterium
Lineage: Bacteria; Pseudomonadati; Pseudomonadota; Gammaproteobacteria; Chromatiales
Description: bacterial SSU rRNA
Rfam family: Bacterial small subunit ribosomal RNA
Source: RNAcentral